AUGUUUUGACAGCCCAUAUACUGUCAUUGGAAGGAUGCAGAGAAGAUCAGCAUGGCCCCAGGGCAAGGAUGACAUGUAAAUCUGUGUGUCCUAUGGCUUUUCU
Molecule: small nuclear RNA, 103 nt
Organism: Phodopus roborovskii (desert hamster)
Lineage: Eukaryota; Metazoa; Chordata; Mammalia; Rodentia; Cricetidae
Source: RefSeq, a predicted model, not a curated record